UUACGGGAGGCAGCAGUAGGGAAUUUUCGGCAAUGGGGGAAACCCUGACCGAGCAACGCCGCGUGAGGGAUGAAGGUCUUCGGAUCGUAAACCUUUGUCUUUGGGGACGAUAAUGACGGUACCCAAGGAGGAAGCCACGGCUAACUACGUGCCAGCAGCCGCGGUAAUACGUAGGUGGCAAGCGUUGUCCGGAAUUACUGGGCGUAAAGGGCGUGUAGGCGGCUUUUUAAGUCAGACGUGAAAUCUCUGGGCUUAACCCAGAAACUGCGUUUGAAACUGGAGAGCUUGAGGACCGGAGAGGGCAGUGGAAUUCCCAGUGUAGCGGUGAAAUGCGUAGAUAUUGGGAGGAACACCAGUGGCGAAGGCGACUGCCUGGACGGCACCUGACGCUGAGGCGCGAAAGCUAGGGGAGCAAACGGGAUUAGAUACCCCGGU
This 435-nucleotide ribosomal RNA is filed under the name uncultured bacterium. RNAcentral describes it as "bacterial SSU rRNA". It matches the Rfam family "Bacterial small subunit ribosomal RNA", at positions 339 to 791 of the family's 1533-position model. The record is from RNAcentral.